CCUACGGGUGGCUGCAGUGGGGAAUAUUGGACAAUGGGGGCAACCCUGAUCCAGCCAUGCCGCGUGUGUGAAGAAGGCCCUCGGGUUGUAAAGCACUUUCAGUGAGGAAGAACGCCUGGUGGUUAAUACCCAUCAGGAAAGACAUCACUCACAGAAGAAGCACCGGCUAACUCCGUGCCAGCAGCCGCGGUAAUACGGAGGGUCGAGCGUUAAUCGGAAUUACUGGGCGUAAAGCGCGCGUAGGUGGCUUGAUAAGCCGGUUGUGAAAGCCCCGGGCUCAACCUGGGAACGGCAUCCGGAACUGUCAAGCUAGAGUGCAGGAGAGGAAGGUAGAAUUCCCGGUGUAGCGGUGAAAUGCGUAGAGAUCGGGAGGAAUACCAGUGGCGAAGGCGGCCUUCUGGACUGACACUGACACUGAGGUGCGAAAGCGUGGGUAGCAAACAGGAUUAGAUACCCUAGUAGUC
RNAcentral lists this ribosomal RNA (464 nucleotides) under Vreelandella stevensii. Its description in RNAcentral is "partial 16S ribosomal RNA". It matches the Rfam family "Bacterial small subunit ribosomal RNA", at positions 338 to 795 of the family's 1533-position model. Lineage: Bacteria; Pseudomonadati; Pseudomonadota; Gammaproteobacteria; Oceanospirillales; Halomonadaceae. The record is from RNAcentral.